This 912-nucleotide long non-coding RNA is filed under the name Numida meleagris (helmeted guineafowl). RNAcentral describes it as "lncRNA (ENSNMEG00000009526.1)". Lineage: Eukaryota; Metazoa; Chordata; Aves; Galliformes; Numididae. The record is from RNAcentral.
AUUCUCUCUCGCUGUAUUGGAUUUAUCAUCUUAAAUUUUAAUUAUAUUGUAUUAUAGUGUGUUGUUUUGCAUUCCGAUAUUUUAUUUAGUAAAUUAGUUUGUUUCUCCUCAGAUUGUUGCCGCUGUUCUUUGCUCUCAGGCCCAUCUCCUUACCCUUUUUUCCCCUUUCCCUUUCCCGGGGCAUGGGUCUGUGUGUCCCCCGUCCCAUUUGUCACGGAACUGGGUUGAACGCCUGUAAACCGUUGACAUCCUGCUAACUGACACCUGGCAGAAAGGAGUGGCAAGUAGCCGUUGGCCCUAUGGACUCUUCUGAGGAAGGAACAUGUUUGCAGUGUUUUAGCUGAUUCUAGAUUGUUUGGCAACUUUUUGCUGAAAUCGUUACUUCGCUUUUCAUUCCUCUGCUGCAUUUUGAAGUCUGGAGUAACCUCAUGUUAUCUUUUCUGGAACUAAAUCAAACUAAUGCCACAGUGGCUACAGCAAGAGUCCAAUCCCAGCUGCCAUCUUCCAUCACAACUCCACUGGAACAGAGGGCCAAGCCCUGAGUUACCACUACAGAAACAAAAGGCAAACAAAUCAUCUGCAGUCACUAGUAUCAUGAAGCCUGCCUGACGGUUUCACCAUGCUGCUGCAGCCUACCUUGUGCCGGAGGGACACUACAGAUGUAGCAGCUGUUGGCAGGGAAAUGCACAGCUAAGGGAGGUAAUAGCUUGUUCAGUGCGCUCCUUUUGCAGCCCCUGGCAAUAGGUUUUCUGCAGCUUCCUGCAGAGCUGCAAAUAGAAACGAAGGCUGUGUCUGACUUGCUGAACCCUGAAGAAGGUGACGGGUGGAAAAGAACUCACAGGUUCUUUUUUGCAGAGUGAAUUUCUUGCUGCAGUAAUUUAUUCUAGCUAGGAUAUAAAAUUUACAUUUCUA